This 480-nucleotide ribosomal RNA is filed under the name uncultured soil bacterium. RNAcentral's name for it is "bacterial SSU rRNA". It matches the Rfam family "Bacterial small subunit ribosomal RNA", at positions 26 to 506 of the family's 1533-position model. The record is from RNAcentral.
AGAUUGAACGCUGGCGGCAGGCCUAACACAUGCAAGUCGAGCGGCAGCACGGGUGCUUGUACCUGGUGGCGAGCGGCGGACGGGUGAGUAAUGCCUAGGAAUCUGCCUGGUAGUGGGGGAUAACGCUCGGAAACGGACGCUAAUACCGCAUACGUCCUACGGGAGAAAGCAGGGGACCUUCGGGCUUGCGCUAUCAGAUGAGCCUAGGUCGGAUUAGCUAGUUGGUGAGGUAAUGGCUCACCAAGGCGACGAUCCGUAACUGGUCUGAGAGGAUGAUCAGUCACACUGGAACUGAGACACGGUCCAGACUCCUACGGGAGGCAGCAGUGGGGAAUAUGGACAAUGGGCGAAAGCCUGAUCCAGCCAUGCCGCGUGUGUGAAGAAGGUCUUCGGAUUGUAAAGCACUUUAAGUGGAGAAGGCAGUAAAUUAAUACUUUGCUGUUUGACGUUACGACAGAAUAAGCAACCGGCUAACUCUGU